This is a long non-coding RNA of Dreissena polymorpha, 3743 nucleotides long. RefSeq lists it as uncharacterized. NCBI's taxonomy places the organism in Eukaryota, Metazoa, Mollusca, Bivalvia, Myida, Dreissenidae. The record is from RefSeq and is a predicted model, not a curated record. The transcript is spliced from 4 exons.
AGCUGCUAAUUGACCUUGUAGAACAAACAAUAUUGUAACUUUAAACAGUAAGAAUUGUAUGAAUACUUUAUCCUUAUACAAUACACAUUUACUCGUAAGUCAAUCUGAAUGUGAAUUAUAGAUGUUUUUCUCAUGAAGUAAGUAUUCCGCACUUACAUAGUUAUUUGUUUGAAUAUUUUAAGGUAUGCAGAGGGUUCUACAGCAACCGGAAACAUCAUCAUCAGUACUAAAACGACUGAAUUGUAUUUAUUACUUCAUGUUUAUACUGUGCUUAUUAGUGAUGUGUUAAAACCACAAAACACUUAAUUGGUUUAUGUACAAACGCAUUUAAUCGUUAAUGGAUUAAAAUGACAAUAUUAAUAUUUGUUAUAAAUAAAUCAAGGUUUAUUUAAUUUUAAUUUAUUUAGUGGUAAUUGUAUCGUUAUAGACUGUUUGUUGACGCUGAGGUAAAUGUAUAAUAAUUAACCUAUAUUUCUUUGUCAUUUUACUUAAGUGCACCUCUAAUAGUCUACGAUGACGAGCCCAAUGCUAAUUCAGUUGGAAAAGCCCCGGACAGACAAACAUCGAUGGACACUAAUCGGUGCAACAAAGUAAAAGACCAUUCAAACGACGACGAGGACUACAUGAAUUUGCGUUUGGGCACCCCACAAAGCAUGGCUGGCGAUAAGAGUGUUGAAAACCGCACUUAUGGGACCACACACUUAGCACAAAAGUCUAUCGAUACAGAGUUGGAACAAGGGAGUACCAACAUAACGAUAGCACAAACGUCUACAAAAGCACCUUUUGCAGCGCGUUAUGGAAAACGCGCACUUAUGCCAGGGGUAGAAGGUGAUUAUAUACAAAUGGAUGCACCAAGACAACCAGCUAAACAUAUGUAUGAGAACACUCAGCUAACGCCGGUUAAAACCGAAUCAAAGGAGAUCAAAGGCGACGAAUUUGAAAAUGAUGACGUGGCAUUGCAGAAGUUUAACUAAACAGUUCGAAUUUCCCUGCCCCUACACCACCCUCAAGUACUGAUGGAGAUGACUACGAGGACACCUAUACAAAAAAGAAGCAUAAAACAUCCUAAAGAACAUUUUAGCCCGUAAAUGAGUUCAUGUUACUAUAAUGUAAUCAGAUACAUGCAUUGUUGGUAGACGAAACAUGCCCGUGUUGAAUACUUAUAGCGUACAUUCAAUAUGACUUUCUGUCUUCACCGAUGGUGUUCAUAACAUAAAUUCUAUGAUAUAACUAGAUCGUGUGAUCGAAGUGAAUUUGUUAUUUCAAACACGAGCUGUCGAAUGGCGUAACUUGCAAUGUAUUAAUGUAUUUUUUUUAGCGUUUGUCUAUCUAGUAUAAAUAGAAACGCGUGUAUUCUAUUUAAAUUAUGCACUUCAACUUAGUCACGUCAUACAUGAAUUAGAUCUAAGCGUUAAACGUAUUAUAUUUGUGUUCAAAAUAUCUUUUCAUUUGUGUUAAAAUUUAAUACAAAUUAUGUCCUAAACGGUGUCUUUCAUACGUUUAGAAUAUAGCAAUAUGUAAUUUGUAUUCGUCCGUUUACACAUUAUAAUUAAGUUUAUGUCAACGUUCCGAAUACCGAACGUAUUACGUUUGGUAUAUUCUUCAUUUUUUAUGAUGUAAAAAUAAUUAUAAGUAAAAAGACAUUAUUAAUUUCUUCAUAUUUAUCCCACUUUUACAGCGAAUUCAGUUGAUUAAAAAGCCGUUGAUUAAAUUUAUGCUAUUAACCCGUACGAAAUUGCGUCAUUUUUUCGACAAAAUGACGCCAUUUUUUCAUGCAAAAUUAUCAAGUUAUACUAAUUUUGUUUUAAUAAAAAGGUUUAAUGAAUCAAACGUGGGAUAAAUAGAAUAAAAGAUUAGUGUUGAAUACAGAUCAGGUUUAUCAUGAUCGGCACGAAAACGAAAAAGCUUUCACCAACGUUCAUGCUUUUUGUUUUCUAAGCCUCGCAUGAUAAACGUGAUCUAUAACCAACACUAACCUAUUAUUCUCUAUUUAGCCGGUUAAAAUUAAGCUAUAAUCAAUUCUGUAUCAAUUCGAACUCAUAGUGACAAAAGCAUCCUCUUUUCGAUUGGGAAAUGUCAAGGUUUUUAGUUAAUAAGGGCAGUCUUUUUCAACUUUUCAAACUGGUCACUUGUUAUCUUAAAAUUGAUGCGUUGAAAAUACGCGAUGUUUUUUCAAUAUUAAUUUUGUCGAAUCUAUGAAUCCUAUCGUGAAAAUAUUUAUUAAUAAGAUUUGACAGAAUCACUGAUCCGUAAAGGGUAAAUAACUUUUGCAGUUCCGGUUCGCGUUUUAUUUACGCGCAUUUCAAAUAAACCGAAUUGUUUCGAGUAGCAACUUUUCCUUAAAAAGUAGUUCCAAACCAACACGUAUAAGCUCAUAAGCUUCUUCAAAUAAUGACCGCUAUUUACUUAGAUUCGAAUGUUGCCAAUAUUUUGGAAAGAUACACAUUUUGACCGUGUUUUAUCAAGACUGAGUCAUACAUACAGCUUCUAGAUCUUUAAUUAAGAUUCAGAUUUGAACACUUACUAGAUAUUAAUAAUUUUCAAGAUAUCUUUCCGAUUGAGACUCUAAUACACUUUCAUUAAGAAUGAGUCAUCAUUAAAUGUUAAUAUUUUUUCUUAGAUUUGGCUGAGUGACCUACUAUUGAACUGACUGCAUGAGAUUUUGACUUGGCCUAUAUAUUGCCUAGUUAAACAGUAUGUCCAAGUUGCAUCAACAUUAUUUGUCCUUCACGUAUAACGUGGUAACAUGUCGAUAACAAGAUUGGUUUAACCUUGGGACUUAGUUUAUGAACCCUUUUGACCAAAAUUUGAUCAAGAAUAUGUAACUUAACAAAACUUACAAAAUUGCGCUGAUUGUGGUAGAAUAGCAUUGCCAAGUUUGUUCGUAUAUGCGAUUGAGACCAGAUUGUUAUUUCAGCUUAUGUGUAACUAAUACAGUUAUUGUGCGUUUUAUAACUUUUGAGUUUGAUUGUAAGUCUUAACACAGUAAUAGAACUCGCAUAUUUUUCUUUCUAUAACAAUUACCUUAAACAUUUGGUCAUGGAUUUAUAUUUGAUAAUAUGUAUUAUAAUUCGCCUUGGUUUUGUGUUUUAUAUAUUUAAUGUGACCCUUCAUAUAAAAACCAAUUUGUACAUUUUGUUAAUAUAUAACAUUGUUUUAUUGAUAUAUGUAUGUAUGUGUGUUUUUAGGAUAAGUUUUUAUUGUAGAAAUCAAGACAAUUAUUUAGUUUUUGAAAGCAUGGCGUAUACAUACAUAUAAUGAGCAUAUAUCGAGCGUAAGUUUAGGAUAACAGGAAAUAUAUGUAUUUAUGUACAUGUAUGUAACCAAAAUGUUAUUGGGUCCAGUAUUACUUGUACAUGAACAUACUUUUUUGACGUCUUUAUUGUUUUUCUUUCACGUUUUAUUAUUCUAAGGCUGUUUUGUUUAUCACACGUUUGUUUCUACUUGAUUGGGCUGUAUCUACGCAUUCCAUUUUUCCUAUUUAAAGUAUUUAUAGUAGAAUUGUUAAUGAUUGGGAUACAUUUAUGCCAUAUACUUUAUUUAUGUGUGUUAACAAUAUUUAACACACGUUGACUUCAAGUAUGAUGCAUGCAUUUCAUGAAAGUACAUUAUUGUCAAAGUAAAAAAAAAAUUAUUCGCAUACAUGUUACACAAUAUGUUUAUGCAUUUUUUAAGUUAAGUCUGCACAAUUUAUUCAUUAGUGUUUAAAGUUAAUUACUUUGAUAUUGUAAAGAUUGUAAACA